CUGUCACAACGGCUUCCUGGCGUGACGGUAAAUUUUAUUGGAGCA
Molecule: non-coding RNA, 45 nt
Filed under: Yoonia vestfoldensis DSM 16212
Lineage: Bacteria; Pseudomonadati; Pseudomonadota; Alphaproteobacteria; Rhodobacterales; Paracoccaceae
Description: SAM-SAH-Weickhmann-2018 RNA
Rfam family: SAM/SAH riboswitch aptamer
Source: RNAcentral